AGUGAACGCUGGCGGCGUGCCUAAUACAUGCAAGUCGAAGGAAGUGGCGCACGGGUGAGUAAUACGUGGGUAACCUGCCCUCCUUUUUGGGAUAAGCCUUGGAAACGGGGUCUAAUACCGAAUAAAGGGGGAUGGGCUCGCGGCCUAUCAGCUUGUGGGUGGGGUGAUGACCUACCAAGGGGGUGACGGGUAGCCGGCCUGAGAGGGUGAACGGCCACAUUGGGAGUGAGAUACGGCCCAGACUCCUACGGGAGGGAGCAGUGGGGGAUAUGGCACAAGGGGCGAAAGGCUGAUGCAGGGACGUCGCGUGGGGGAUGAAGGGUUGCGGGUUGGAAACCUCUGUCGCUAAGGAACGGGUAGGUGGAGAAGAAGCUCCGGCUAACUACGUGCCAGCAGCCGCGGUAAUAC
This 408-nucleotide ribosomal RNA is filed under the name uncultured bacterium. Its description in RNAcentral is "partial 16S ribosomal RNA". It matches the Rfam family "Bacterial small subunit ribosomal RNA", at positions 30 to 526 of the family's 1533-position model. The record is from RNAcentral.